Molecule: ribosomal RNA, 1662 nt
Filed under: Escherichia coli
Lineage: Bacteria; Pseudomonadati; Pseudomonadota; Gammaproteobacteria; Enterobacterales; Enterobacteriaceae
Description: partial 23S ribosomal RNA
Rfam family: Bacterial large subunit ribosomal RNA
Source: RNAcentral
CUGGAGGUAUCAGAAGUGCGAAUGCUGACAUAAGUAACGAUAAAGCGGGUGAAAAGCCCGCUCGCCGGAAGACCAAGGGUUCCUGUCCAACGUUAAUCGGGGCAGGGUGAGUCGACCCCUAAGGCGAGGCCGAAAGGCGUAGUCGAUGGGAAACAGGUUAAUAUUCCUGUACUUGGUGUUACUGCGAAGGGGGGACGGAGAAGGCUAUGUUGGCCGGGCGACGGUUGUCCCGGUUUAAGCGUGUAGGCUGGUUUUCCAGGCAAAUCCGGAAAAUCAAGGCUGAGGCGUGAUGACGAGGCACUACGGUGCUGAAGCAACAAAUGCCCUGCUUCCAGGAAAAGCCUCUAAGCAUCAGGUAACAUCAAAUCGUACCCCAAACCGACACAGGUGGUCAGGUAGAGAAUACCAAGGCGCUUGAGAGAACUCGGGUGAAGGAACUAGGCAAAAUGGUGCCGUAACUUCGGGAGAAGGCACGCUGAUAUGUAGGUGAAGCGACUUGCUCGUGGAGCUGAAAUCAGUCGAAGAUACCAGCUGGCUGCAACUGUUUAUUAAAAACACAGCACUGUGCAAACACGAAAGUGGACGUAUACGGUGUGACGCCUGCCCGGUGCCGGAAGGUUAAUUGAUGGGGUCAGCGCAAGCGAAGCUCUUGAUCGAAGCCCCGGUAAACGGCGGCCGUAACUAUAACGGUCCUAAGGUAGCGAAAUUCCUUGUCGGGUAAGUUCCGACCUGCACGAAUGGCGUAAUGAUGGCCAGGCUGUCUCCACCCGAGACUCAGUGAAAUUGAACUCGCUGUGAAGAUGCAGUGUACCCGCGGCAAGACGGAAAGACCCCGUGAACCUUUACUAUAGCUUGACACUGAACAUUGAGCCUUGAUGUGUAGGAUAGGUGGGAGGCUUAGAAGUGUGGACGCCAGUCUGCAUGGAGCCGACCUUGAAAUACCACCCUUUAAUGUUUGAUGUUCUAACGUUGACCCGUAAUCCGGGUUGCGGACAGUGUCUGGUGGGUAGUUUGACUGGGGCGGUCUCCUCCUAAAGAGUAACGGAGGAGCACGAAGGUUGGCUAAUCCUGGUCGGACAUCAGGAGGUUAGUGCAAUGGCAUAAGCCAGCUUGACUGCGAGCGUGACGGCGCGAGCAGGUGCGAAAGCAGGUCAUAGUGAUCCGGUGGUUCUGAAUGGAAGGGCCAUCGCUCAACGGAUAAAAGGUACUCCGGGGAUAACAGGCUGAUACCGCCCAAGAGUUCAUAUCGACGGCGGUGUUUGGCACCUCGAUGUCGGCUCAUCACAUCCUGGGGCUGAAGUAGGUCCCAAGGGUAUGGCUGUUCGCCAUUUAAAGUGGUACGCGAGCUGGGUUUAGAACGUCGUGAGACAGUUCGGUCCCUAUCUGCCGUGGGCGCUGGAGAACUGAGGGGGGCUGCUCCUAGUACGAGAGGACCGGAGUGGACGCAUCACUGGUGUUCGGGUUGUCAUGCCAAUGGCACUGCCCGGUAGCUAAAUGCGGAAGAGAUAAGUGCUGAAAGCAUCUAAGCACGAAACUUGCCCCGAGAUGAGUUCUCCCUGACUCCUUGAGAGUCCUGAAGGAACGUUGAAGACGACGACGUUGAUAGGCCGGGUGUGUAAGCGCAGCGAUGCGUUGAGCUAACCGGUACUAAUGAACCGUGAG